Molecule: ribosomal RNA, 505 nt
Filed under: uncultured bacterium
Lineage: Bacteria
Description: bacterial SSU rRNA
Rfam family: Bacterial small subunit ribosomal RNA
Source: RNAcentral
GAACGGGUGAGUAAUACAUCGGAACGUGUCCUGGAGUGGGGGAUAGCCCGGCGAAAGCCGGAUUAAUACCGCAUACGCUCUGAGGAGGAAAGCGGGGGAUCUUCGGACCUCGCGCUCAAGGGGCGGCCGAUGGCGGAUUAGGUAGUUGGUGGGGUAAAGGCCUACCAAGCCGACGAUCCGUAGCUGGUCUGAGAGGACGACCAGCCACACUGGGACUGAGACACGGCCCAGACUCCUACGGGAGGCAGCAGUGGGGAAUUUUGGACAAUGGGGGCAACCCUGAUCCAGCAAUGCCGCGUGUGUGAAGAAGGCCUUCGGGUUGUAAAGCACUUUUGUCCGGAAAGAAAGCAUCCUCACUAAUACUGGGGGUGGAUGACGGUACCGGAAGAAUAAGCACCGGCUAACUACGUGCCAGCAGCCGCGGUAAUACGUAGGGUGCAAGCGUUAAUCGGAAUUACUGGGCGUAAAGCGUGCGCAGGCGGUUUUGUAAGACCGAUGUGAAAUC